GGUGUCUAGACUUCUCCAAGUGAAUUCUGCCCAUAAGAUGUGGCUGAAGCAAGACCUAAAAAGGUAACCUGAAUUACUUGUGUGCAACCCUGACCCUCACAUGGAAAAAACUCCCAAGCACCAGUCUCCAGAGCUGAUGAUUAUAAUCUUAUGGCACCUGGUGGUUUUGUUUUUGUGCUAGAAGUCUACAAACUACAGAAGCUCUGACUGAAGUAGACAAGAAACAAAUUCAAAGUGAAUUUGCUGUAUUAUCUAUCUGGACUCCCUAGGUUUAGCGACACUUCCGGAUUUUCUAUAAACUAACCUGUUUCAGUUUUGCUACAUUGUCUAUUACAAUGUAUUCUUAGAAGAAUACCUUGUAAGUAUUCUUGCAGCUAAUACUAACAAUUUACACUAAUUUCUACUCCAGUUUGUACAAGAAUGAGUAACUUGAGAGGACUAUAAAAUAGAAUUGAUUUUUAAAUAUUCCAGUUCUGUUUAGCAGAGCACCAAGUGUCAUGACCAUCUGUCACUGUUUAAAUGUGCAAAGCAGCAGUCCUAUGUAAGCCCUCAAAGAAGCGUUAGAAUUGAAGCUGAUGCUUUUCAGUUGCUGUGUUUUUAAGCCUUUCUAGUGGAAGGUCAAUGUGAGUAAAUGCUUUCUAGAGAUUAAUUCAGAAUCUGUCACCUUAAGGGAAAAAAAAAAAUCAUGAGCUGCUGUUGAAAGUCAUCAUAAUAAUGUUUAUUCUUACCCUUUCAAGGGAAGCAAAUGGUAAUUAAAAAUCCUGCAACUUUUUUUCUGGUAUUUCUUCUUAUUGAAACUUUCCUUCUUAUCUGCAAGGAAAAAUUUCAUGUAGGAAAACCAAAGUCCACAAAGUUUUGCCUGUUGAUGCCUGGCUGUUCAAAUGAAGAUGAAAAUUCCGCAGUUCACUCUUAGUAGAAAUGAAUUUAAAUAUUUUUGUGGUAGUCUUUUUCACCCCUUCAGUCUUAAUUUUUCCACUUGAAUAUGAUGUUUGCUGUAUUGAGGUUAUAAGGUCUAAUUGGGAAGAAAACAGGGACUAUUCUAGAAGCGCAAUGCAUUCUUUCUAUGUGUGGUGUUUUCUUACAUCUUUUCAAUAAAUGGUUGUAUGCACUCUAGAGAUUUUCAUGUUUGAGUAUUUUUGAAGCAUCUCGAUAACAGCAGGGAUUAAAAAAGCCUUUGAAAUGAACUGUGUAGUGCAGCACAGUAGAUCAUAUUUAAGUAUUAAAAUCAGUUACAGUGUUCAAAACACUUCGAAAGUUUAAACUCUUAGUUUCACUCUACAGCCUACCAGCCAUAUAAUUGAAAGUAUGCAGCAGUUAUGGUUAGGGUGGUUAGAAAUAGUUAUCAGAAUCAGCUGCCCAAAUAGCCAUUCCCUCAUGAAGGAAUUGUCUGCUGGGACUCUAGGAGUUUGCCCACAGCUCAUCAUUAUUCCUUCUUUCUGA
Long non-coding RNA from Pezoporus flaviventris, 1440 nucleotides. RefSeq lists it as uncharacterized. NCBI's taxonomy places the organism in Eukaryota, Metazoa, Chordata, Aves, Psittaciformes, Psittacidae. The transcript has 3 exons. The record is from RefSeq and is a predicted model, not a curated record.